UUGGAAACGGCAGCUAAUACCCCAUAGACUUGGCGCAUUUUGAAAGCGUUGAGUAAAGGAGCAAUCCGCUUUGAGAGGGGUCUGCGGUCUAUCAGGCUAGUUGGUGAGGUAACGGCUCACCAAGGCGAAGACGGAUAGGGGGGUGAGAGCGCGACCCCCCACAAUGGGACUGAGACACGGCCCAUACUCCUACGGGAGGCAGCAGUGAGGAAUAUUGCACAAUGGGGGCAACCCUGAUGCAGCAAUGCCGCGUGGGUGAUGAAGGUUUUCGGAUUGUAAAGCCCUUUUCUGUGAGAAGAGAGAGGACGGUAUCACAGGAAUAAGUCCCGGCUAACUACGUGCCAGCAGCCGCGGUAAAUCGUAGGGGGCGAGCGUUAUCCGGAUUUAUUGGGCGUAAAGCGCAUGUAGGCGGUAUGGUAAGAUAGGCGUGAAAGCUCUCGGCUUAACCGGGAGAGGACGUGUGUGACUGCCGUACUUGAGUGGAGUAGAGGAGAGCGGAAUUCCCGGUGUAGUGGUGGAAUGCGUAGAUAUCGGGAGGAACACCAGUGGCGAAAGCGGCUCUCUGGGCUUUAACUGACGUUGAGAUGCGAAAGCGUGGGUAGCGAACGGGAUUAGAUACCCCGGUAGUCCACGCUGUAAAACGAUGGGAUGCUAGGUGUAGCGGGUGUAGACCCCCUGCUGUGCCGCAGUUAACACGGUAAGCAUCCCGCCUGGGGGACUACGGUCGCAAGACUAAAACUCAAAGGAAUUGACGGGGGCCCGCACAAGCAGCGGAGCGUGUGGUUUAAUUCGAUGAUACGCGAAGAACCUUACCUGGGUUUGACAUAUAGGUGG
Molecule: ribosomal RNA, 834 nt
Filed under: uncultured bacterium
Lineage: Bacteria
Description: bacterial SSU rRNA
Rfam family: Bacterial small subunit ribosomal RNA
Source: RNAcentral